RNAcentral lists this ribosomal RNA (528 nucleotides) under uncultured bacterium. RNAcentral describes it as "bacterial SSU rRNA". It matches the Rfam family "Bacterial small subunit ribosomal RNA", at positions 777 to 1303 of the family's 1533-position model. The record is from RNAcentral.
AAUAGAUACCCAGGUAGUCCACGCCGUAAACGAUGAGUGCUAAGUGUUAGAGGGUUUCCGCCCUUUAGUGCUGCAGCUAACGCAUUAAGCACUCCGCCUGGGGAGUACGGUCGCAAGACUGAAACUCAAAGGAAUUGACGGGGGCCCGCACAAGCGGUGGAGCAUGUGGUUUAAUUCGAAGCAACGCGAAGAACCUUACCAGAUCUUGACAUCCUCUGACAACUCUAGAGAUAGAGCGUUCCCCUUCGGGGGACAGAGUGACAGGUGGUGCAUGGUUGUCGUCAGCUCGUGUCGUGAGAUGUUGGGUUAAGUCCCGCAACGAGCGCAACCCUUGAUCUUAGUUGCCAGCAUUUAGUUGGGCACUCUAAGGUGACUGCCGGUGACAAACCGGAGGAAGGUGGGGAUGACGUCAAAUCAUCAUGCCCCUUAUGACCUGGGCUACACACGUGCUACAAUGGAUGGUACAAAGGGCUGCAAGACCGCGAGGUCAAGCCAAUCCCAUAAAACCAUUCUCAGUUCGGAUUGGUA